Molecule: long non-coding RNA, 271 nt
Organism: Columba livia (rock pigeon)
Lineage: Eukaryota; Metazoa; Chordata; Aves; Columbiformes; Columbidae
Exons: 2
Source: RefSeq, a predicted model, not a curated record
UCUGUGUGUGCAGAAAUUCUCUCUGGAUCUGAGCAGAAGGCAAAUGCAGGGAUGAGAAAGGACAACAAAGGCCAUGCAACUUUCUUACAGGCCCAGUUAUCCAAAUGUUGCAGAUGCUGGGAAGAUCCUGACUGCUGGAAAUAUCCUGGAACUGGGGAAGAUCUUGAAGACCAGAGAACUGCAUGGAGACAAAUCUCAGGGGAUGCUCAGGGACCUUGACCGGUGUCGAGGGGUUUGAUUGCGGGGUGACAAUAAAACCCUGGUAGAUGUA